GUGUAGCUCAGUGGGAGAGUGCUUGCCUAGCAUGUGCAAGGCCCUAGGUUUAAUCCCCAGCAAACA
Molecule: transfer RNA, 66 nt
Filed under: Marmota monax (woodchuck)
Lineage: Eukaryota; Metazoa; Chordata; Mammalia; Rodentia; Sciuridae
Description: tRNA.Ala
Source: RNAcentral